GAUGAAGAACGUAGUGAAAUGCGAUAAGUAGUGUGAAUUGCAGAAUUCAGUGAAUCAUCGAAUCUUUGAACGCACAUUGCGCCCCUUGGUAUUCCAUGGGGCAUGCCUGUUCGAGCGUCAUUUGUACCUUCAAGCUCUGCUUGGGGUUGGGUGUUUGUCUCGCCUCUGCGUGUAGACUCGCCUCAAAACAAUUGGCAGCCGGCGUAUUGAUUUCGGAGCGCAGUACAUCUCGCGCUUUGCACUCAUAACGACGACGUCCAAAAGUACAUUUUUACACUCUUGACCUCGGAUCAGGUAGGGAUACCCGCUGAACUUAAGCAUAUCAAUAAGCGGAGGA
This 337-nucleotide unclassified non-coding RNA is filed under the name soil metagenome. Its description in RNAcentral is "partial contains 5.8S ribosomal RNA, internal transcribed spacer 2, and large subunit ribosomal RNA". The stretch from base 1 to 120 matches the Rfam family "5.8S ribosomal RNA", at positions 35 to 154 of the family's 154-position model. The record is from RNAcentral.